Tribolium castaneum (red flour beetle) is the source of this 1373-nucleotide long non-coding RNA. RefSeq lists it as uncharacterized. NCBI's taxonomy places the organism in Eukaryota, Metazoa, Arthropoda, Insecta, Coleoptera, Tenebrionidae. The record is from RefSeq and is a predicted model, not a curated record. The transcript has 2 exons.
UUGAUUGAUGUCGGAAAAAAAUUAUGACUUUAUUGUUUGAAAACGCUUCUAUUAUCGAUUUGCAAGGCAUUGUCCCGAGGUUUCUUGGCAAAGCUUUAGGUGUAUGCCUGGAUUAAAGGAAUGGAUGUCCGAGUUGAGGGUGUGGCUUGUUUAGAUUUCUUGUAGGUGUUUUGAUUUUACGUCACGAUAAUAUUGAAAAGGCAGCAUUGAUACUGUUCUCACGUCUGAAGCAGGGUUAGUCAAGCGGCAUAGGAGAAACGGUUUAUUAAAUCAUACUAUCAACAUGCGGCGCCACGUGCGUUAUCUAUGCAGAUUUCUGUAAAUUUGGAGUACGUGGCACGGUCGUUAAUAGAAACUACUUAUGCCAUCUUUUGGUAGUGUGAUUUCAAAUUAAAUCGACGAAUUUAUCCAAAAAUCCAAAAUAUUAAGCAACCUUUGGCGCGCAAUGUCACACUACAUUCAACGGUGUCAAAAAGUUUUUUCAAUUUUAAAUGUUUCAAUUUCCAAUUUGAAUUUUUCUGCUACGUGUUGUGUUCGUGGUUUUCUCUUUUUAUUCUUAUUUGAAUUCGUUUGUUGGUGUUAUCUACUUCUAAAGUAAUCUCAAAAACAUUUAAGUUUUGAACUUUCGAAGGCUAAAAUUUGCUCUGGUGUGGACCUAUUGUACACUUAAAAGGCAACCUACAACGUUUAUUAAACAACUUCUGGCUGGCUGGAACACAUGAUUCUGGAAACAGUGCAUCUCUUUACUUGUGAAAGUUAUCCAGAAACAAAUCGACUUGGGCACCAAAAAUAACUUCGAGAAUUUAAAUCAAAUUUCAUUUUUUGAGUGGACAUCUAUGAUGGACACCGUUUAAGACUUCUACCUUGCACAUAGUGUCUUUUAUUUAAUACACGCGUUCAUUCAUUCAUUUGUACAAAAGCCACAAAAAUGUAUCUUGAACUCCCUUCUUUUUACCGUUAAGUUUCAAGACUGGUGAAUCCACCAAAGUGGAGUCCUUACAUUAAAAUCAGAAAAACCUCUUACUCAUAAUAAGUUCAUAUAAGUAAAUUUGUUGUAAAGUCAUUUACGUGAGUCUACAACCAACACGAAAACAUACAAGAAAUGUUUGCACAUACUAUUAAAAGCACUACUUUUCUGUGAAAAUUGAAUUGGGCACAUGUCCAAAACUCCAAUGGUACCUUAUUAGAGUCCGUAUUUACUUACUUAGUGCUUUAAUUUUUUUCCAAGUUUCAAAAUAAUGUUAAAUAACCGGUUUUGAGGGUGAGGAAGUUGCCAAAUUAAAAUGUGGAAGCCAAACACGACAUUUAUUUCUUAUAAUUGAUGUUUUCAUAAUUUGUGAAACAUUAAUUCAUUAAUAAAUUAUUUUCAUUCA